GCAACACACCAGCUGUCUCCGUCAUGGUCUGGCUGAGACAUACGCACUGGAGCUGAGAAAAGUGGAGUAGCUAGCCUAAUACAACUAAUUAUUUACCUUGGAAGCUGGGGAGACUCUCACACCAGCAAUUUCAGGUUCUGAGUUUAUGUCAGAAGUAUAGCUGGCCUUCUUCCAAUUGUUGGCUACAUUCUGAAAAGAUGCUGAAAACAAGAAAUGCAGGAUUUACACAAGCUCCAGUCUGGAUCCAGAACACCUGAGAAGAGAUGAUGCUGACCCUCAAAGGACCUCAGAUGAUGCUAACCCAGAGACAACAUACAGAACUACCACAUUUUGUGCCAUCAAAAUAAAAGUCCGGCCUCGAACACAUCAGCCAAGCAGAAUAACUUAUCAGCUGAUGCCGAUAUUUGAAAAAUUGGCAUUGGUGAUAUAUUGGUCGACCACUACAGGUAAUCUGGGGAAAAUCAUUGUUUAAUUUACAGCACCAUUUACUCUUACCAGACUCGUGCAGUAUUCUUGCUCUAUGUCGGGUCCACCCUUUUUCUGGCUGUGGUGCCUCCAUUGUCCUAACACUCUUCAGCAACCUGUCAAGAUCUUUAUAUGGUGGCCACCAGGAGUAGCCAUCUGCAUACCAGGACUUGGAAGCUGGUCCAGUCGUCCCUUCUCCCUCAAACUCCACGAUUAGAAAUCAACUGUUGUUGAGAGGUCAUCCACUAAAUGAAUGCCAAGUGUAGAGGAUGGCAGUGGAUAGUCAAACAAGGAUUCCUGGUGGUUGAAGGUAUUGUAAGCAACAUAAAUUUCAUCCCUUAAUGAAAUGAUGUUUUGCAGCUUAGCAACUUUGCCGCCAAUGCAAACGUGACUGUUUGCCUGAUCCAAUUUCAGAGUGUGAGGGCUUGUUCUCAACUCUUUAUAUUGUGUCGCCUCAUGGAAGGAUGCAGGAAGAGGACCAGUCGCAUGUGGUUUUUUGAGCAGAUGUGGCCUGGUUUUGUGAGUUUUUUUGCAGCAUCUUUGCAUUUCUGAGAGUCUUUUUACUAUUUGACUGAGUGGGCAUGUUGGUUUCCUCAGAAGUCUUUUGAGUUUGUUUAGGUGAUUCUCAUACUUGAAAGCACUGAAGUUGUCAAGGACACCAUGCUUUUUUGCAUCAUCUGCAAGAUGUACAAGACAGUGUGCAUUGUAGGACAAGAAUUGUGGACCAUACAGUUGACCAAAGUGAGAGACAAAGAGCACCACCUACAAGUCAGAGGACCCAUCUUUAGCCACAAGAGAAGAAGCCGUCUCAUGAUUCCGAGGCACACAAGGUGCAUGUAGUCGAGGGGGAAACCAGAGACCAUGUUUAGGGAUGUUUCUUCAAGAGGUGAUGGACCAUGAUGAUGAUCAGCAUCUGUCUUAUUUCUGAAGAUCUCAUUAGUUC
This is a long non-coding RNA of Carassius gibelio (silver crucian carp), 1408 nucleotides long. RefSeq lists it as uncharacterized. NCBI's taxonomy places the organism in Eukaryota, Metazoa, Chordata, Actinopteri, Cypriniformes, Cyprinidae. The transcript is spliced from 7 exons. The record is from RefSeq and is a predicted model, not a curated record.